AUUGAACGCUGGCGGCAUGCCUUACACAUGCAAGUCGAACGGCAGCACGGGAGCAAUCCUGGUGGCGAGUGGCGAACGGGUGAGUAAUGUAUCGGAACGUACCUUUCAGUGGGGGAUAACGUAGCGAAAGUUACGCUAAUACCGCAUAUUCUGUGAGCAGGAAAGCAGGGGAUCGCAAGACCUUGCGCUGAUUGAGCGGCCGAUAUCAGAUUAGCUAGUUGGUGAGGUAAAGGCUCACCAAGGCGACGAUCUGUAGCGGGUCUGAGAGGAUGAUCCGCCACACUGGAACUGAGACACGGUCCAGACUCCUACGGGAGGCAGCAGUGGGGAAUUUUGGACAAUGGGCGCAAGCCUGAUCCAGCCAUGCCGCGUGUGUGAAGAAGGCCUCGG
RNAcentral lists this ribosomal RNA (390 nucleotides) under uncultured bacterium. RNAcentral describes it as "bacterial SSU rRNA". It matches the Rfam family "Bacterial small subunit ribosomal RNA", at positions 30 to 420 of the family's 1533-position model. The record is from RNAcentral.